Molecule: ribosomal RNA, 581 nt
Filed under: Filobasidium magnum
Lineage: Eukaryota; Fungi; Basidiomycota; Tremellomycetes; Filobasidiales; Filobasidiaceae
Description: partial large subunit ribosomal RNA
Rfam family: Eukaryotic large subunit ribosomal RNA
Source: RNAcentral
CCUAGUAACGGCGAGUGAAGCGGGAAGAGCUCAAAUUUGAAAUCUGGUGGCCUCAGGUCAUCCGAGUUGUAAUCUAUAGAAGUGUUUUCCGUGCUGGCUCAUGUACAAGUCCCUUGGAACAGGGCGUCAUAGAGGGUGAGAAUCCCGUCCUUGACAUGAACUACCAGUGCUCUGUGAUACAUUUUCAACGAGUCGAGUUGUUUGGGAAUGCAGCUCAAAAUGGGUGGUAAAUUCCAUCUAAAGCUAAAUAUUGGCGAGAGACCGAUAGCGAACAAGUACCGUGAGGGAAAGAUGAAAAGCACUUUGGAAAGAGAGUUAAACAGUAUGUGAAAUUGUUGAAAGGGAAACGAUUGAAGUCAGUCGUGCUCUUUGGAUUCAGCCGGUUCUGCCGGUGUACUUCCUUUGAGUGGGGUCAACAUCAGUUUUGAUCGCUGGAUAAAGGCUGGAGGAACGUAGUACCCUCGGGUAAACUUAUAGCCUCCUGUCACAUACAGUGGUUGGGACUGAGGAACGCAGCACGCCUUUAUGGCCGGGAUUCGUCCACGUACGUGCUUAGGAUGUUGACAUAAUGGCUUUAAACG